This is a small nuclear RNA of Myotis lucifugus (little brown bat), 104 nucleotides long. The record is from Ensembl. NCBI's taxonomy places the organism in Eukaryota, Metazoa, Chordata, Mammalia, Chiroptera, Vespertilionidae.
GUGCCCGCUUAGGCAGCACAUAUACUAUAAUUGGAAUGAUACAGAGAUUAGCAUGACCCCUGCACAAGGAUGACACACAAAUUUGUGAAGUGUUCCAUAUUUAA